RNAcentral lists this long non-coding RNA (417 nucleotides) under Nicotiana benthamiana. Its description in RNAcentral is "long non-coding RNA (NBEN_LNC013825)". Lineage: Eukaryota; Viridiplantae; Streptophyta; Magnoliopsida; Solanales; Solanaceae. The record is from RNAcentral.
AUGCCUUUCUCAAUUGAAAUGUGGGGGUUGAUCCCUUCACCUAUUGUUACGUCAAUCUCUCCUUAACUCGGUCUGAACUGACGUUAAUCACUGAAUCGGGUCAUUUAGAUCAUCCUCUUUUGCCCUUACCUCGGCGUAAUAGGAGUCGUGGAUCUAUUCCUAUGUGGUGGGGGUACUUAUGAGCCUGCUGAGCAAUUUUUUGGUUGCCUUUGAUCCAUUCCUGUUUAACUCAUUUUGAAAGGCUGCUACUACCAUCCCCUCUGACAUGUUUGGCAAGCUCAUCCUUACUCUGUUAAACCGUUCCACGAAGUCCCGAAGUCUUUCGCCCGCCGUUUGACUGACGGCAAAGAUAUCAUUGACCCUGGCUUCAUCCUUCUUCGCCCCUGAUGAGUGGUGGCGAAUUUAUCCGUCAUCUCU